Molecule: ribosomal RNA, 854 nt
Filed under: uncultured bacterium
Lineage: Bacteria
Description: bacterial SSU rRNA
Rfam family: Bacterial small subunit ribosomal RNA
Source: RNAcentral
GAACGCGGGCGGCGUGGAUAAGACAUGCAAGUCGAACGGGGCAUUUCAGGUAGCAAUAUUUGGGAUGUUCAGUGGCGAACGGGUGCGUAACACGUGGAUAACAUUCCGGGAAGCGGGGGAUAGCCCAGGGAAACUUGGAUUAAUACCGCAUGUGGUCGAAAGACUAAAGGUGGGGACCGCAAGGCCUGCCACUUCCCGAUUGGUCCGCGGCCUAUCAGCUAGUUGGUGAGGUAAUGGCUCACCAAGGCUACGACGGGUAGCUGGUCUUAGAGGACAACCAGCCACACUGGAACUGAGACACGGUCCAGACACCUACGGGUGGCAGCAGUCGAGAAUCUUUCACAAUGGGGGCAACCCUGAUGGAGUGACGCCGCGUGGAGGAUAAGGUCUUCGGAUUGUAAACUCCUGUCAUGCGAGAACAAGGCAUUCAGGUUAAUAACCUGGGUGUUUGAUGGUACCGCAAGAGGAAGAGACGGCUAACUCUGUGCCAGCAGCCGCGGUAAUACAGAGGUCUCAAGCGUUGUUCGGAAUCACUGGGCGUAAAGGGUGCGUAGGCUGCGCCGUAAGUCAGAUGUGAAAGCUCAGGGCUCAACCCUGAAAUUGCAUCCGAUACUGCGGUGUUAGAGAAAUGAAGGGGAGUCUAGAAUCUUCGGUGUAGCAGUGAAAUGCGUAGAUAUCGAAAGGAAUACCAAAGGCGAAGGCAGGACUCUGGGCAUUUUCUGACGCUCAUGCACGAAGGCUAGGGUAGCGAACGGGAUUAGAUACCCCGGUAGUCCUAGCAGUAAACGGUGCACGUUUGGUGUGGGCGCAAUCGACCGCGUCCGCGCCGGAGCUAACGCGUUAAACGUGCCGCC